Molecule: ribosomal RNA, 244 nt
Filed under: uncultured bacterium
Lineage: Bacteria
Description: partial 16S ribosomal RNA
Rfam family: Bacterial small subunit ribosomal RNA
Source: RNAcentral
CGUGGGUAACCUGCCCAAGAGACUGGGAUAACACCUGGAAACAGAUGCUAAUACCGGAUAACAACACUAGACGCAUGUCUAGAGUUUAAAAGAUGGUUCUGCUAUCACUCUUGGAUGGGCCUGCGGUGCAUUAGCUAGUUGGUAAGGUAACGGCUUACCAAGGCAAUGAUGCAUAGCCGAGUUGAGAGACUGAUCGGCCACAUUGGGACUGAGACACGGCCCAAACUCCUACGGGAGGCAGCAG